UCCGCAGUAGCUCAGCUGGUAAAGCAUCUGCCUGCAAUGCAGGAGACCUGGGUUCAAUCCCUGGGUUGGAA
Molecule: transfer RNA, 71 nt
Filed under: Ovis aries (sheep)
Lineage: Eukaryota; Metazoa; Chordata; Mammalia; Artiodactyla; Bovidae
Rfam family: tRNA
About the family: Transfer RNA (tRNA) molecules are approximately 80 nucleotides in length. Their secondary structure includes four short double-helical elements and three loops (D, anti-codon, and T loops).
Source: Rfam by way of RNAcentral